UAGGGAAUCUUCCACAAUGGACGCAAGUCUGAUGGAGCAACGCCGCGUGAGUGAAGAAGGCUUUCGGGUCGUAAAACUCUGUUGUUGGAGAAGAAUGGUCGGCAGAGUAACUGUUGUCGGCGUGACGGUAUCCAACCAGAAAGCCACGGCUAACUACGUGCCAGCAGCCGCGGUAAUACGUAGGUGGCAAGCGUUAUCCGGAUUUAUUGGGCGUAAAGCGAGCGCAGGCGGUUUUUUAAGUCUGAUGUGAAAGCCCUCGGCUUAACCGAGGAAGUGCAUCGGAAACUGGGAAACUUGAGUGCAGAAGAGGACAGUGGAACUCCAUGUGUAGCGGUGAAAUGCGUAGAUAUAUGGAAGAACACCAGUGGCGAAGGCGGCUGUCUGGUCUGUAACUGACGCUGAGGCUCGAAAGCAUGGGUAGCGAACAGGAUUAGAUACCCUGGUAGUCCAUGCCGUAAACGAUGAAUGCUAGGUGUUGGAGGGUU
Molecule: ribosomal RNA, 485 nt
Filed under: uncultured bacterium
Lineage: Bacteria
Description: partial 16S ribosomal RNA
Rfam family: Bacterial small subunit ribosomal RNA
Source: RNAcentral